RNAcentral lists this ribosomal RNA (500 nucleotides) under uncultured bacterium. RNAcentral's name for it is "partial 16S ribosomal RNA". It matches the Rfam family "Bacterial small subunit ribosomal RNA", at positions 30 to 523 of the family's 1533-position model. The record is from RNAcentral.
AUUGAACGCUGGCGGAAUGCUUUACACAUGCAAGUCGAACGGCAGCACGGGGGCAACCCUGGUGGCGAGUGGCGAACGGGUGAGUAAUACAUCGGAACGUGCCCAGUCGUGGGGGAUAACGUAGCGAAAGUUACGCUAAUACCGCAUACGAUCUACGGAUGAAAGCGGGGGACCGUAAGGCCUCGCGCGAUUGGAGCGGCCGAUGUCAGAUUAGGUAGUUGGUGAGGUAAAGGCUCACCGAGCCGACGAUCUGUAGCUGGUCUGAGAGGACGACCAGCCACACUGGGACUGGGACACGGCCCAGACUCCUACGGGAGGCAGCAGUGGGGAAUUUUGGACAAUGGGCGCAAGCCUGAUUCAGCCAUUCCGCGUGCAGGACGAAGGCCUUCGGGUUGUAAACUGCUUUUGUACGGAACGAAAAGGCUCUGGUUAAUACCUGGGGCUCAUGACGGUACCGUAAGAAUAAGCACCGGCUAACUACGUGCCAGCAGCCGCGGUAA